RNAcentral lists this long non-coding RNA (1207 nucleotides) under Gallus gallus (chicken). Lineage: Eukaryota; Metazoa; Chordata; Aves; Galliformes; Phasianidae. The record is from RNAcentral.
UGCUACAGGAGGCAAGUGAAGCAAACUUUAUCCAAGGAGUGUAAUACUUGACACCUUUUUGGUGAACUUUAAUAAUCAUUCAAGCUUCCUUCUGCGGAUGAGACUGGACAACAGCUAGAGUUAAGAACUGAAUCUAUACCUGAUUAAAGCAGCUACUUCCUAACUGAAGAUAAAUGAAGAGGAAAGGAAGAGUAACACAUACAAGCCCUCAAACUUUUCAAUUCCAGUAAAAGAAGUAUUUAUCUGCAACAGCCGCAGUGAUCUUCAGGCUUCUGGGGAGUAAGCUUGAACCUUCAACAAUGUUUUCAAUUGUCAAAUAAUUGUCAAAUGUCCUCAUGAAGAGCUGGGAUACCAACGGAAAUGGGACUUUGAUUGUAAGGGGAUUUUUAAAUGCCGAUGUAAGAAAGAAUUUAAAAUUGAACCAACAAUAUGACAGAGACAUGGUGACAGAAAUCCUGUGCUGAAUAAAAUAAAAUACAAAUUAUAAGUUGCCAAAGCAUAAUAGAACUGUUCCUCUAUUUCAAAAAAUUUAUGGGUAGAUGUUCUUAAGCUGAUCAACUUGAAAUACAGGAGUUGAAAGUAUGAGAAGUUUUCAGUGUUUUUCUUGGUUGCAAUUAAAAAAGGUGAUAAAUUUAAUGACAAUGAGCAGAUUUCUCAAUAACUUUUUUUGGUUUUUCAGUGUUGAAAUAAAACGUCAUGAGGAUAAGAUUAGGCUACUUGCUGAGUUUCUGGCAGAUGCCAAGAAUGCAAGGUUACGGUACUGAGUUCUUGCAGGUUUUUCAUCGAGGAAUUUUUUCUGAAGCUCUUCUGAAGGUAGAUCUGGAUAGAAUGUGCUGUGGCACUUGCUUCUGGACACAUCACUGCACCUCCUGGUACAUGAUGUCAGUGCAAUCUGAGAGAAGGUCUUAGCCUUAGGCUAAGAGGAGAGCUUUCAUGAGACUGGUGCAGGCUCUACUUGAUAUAAAAUGAUUAAUUGUGGCUAAUAUAGCUCUGACAUCACAACCCAAGCCUGAUCUGACAAUUCCAGUUUUCCAUUAGUUAUGGCUUAAAUUCUGGUCUACAGAGCACAUUCGAGUCUUAUGCUCUGAACUCCCUUUUCAUAGCACAUUACACACUGAGCUGAAGCAGUCAGCAGGUCUUUGUCCCAGACAGCAGUGCCAGGAUAAACACUAACACACCUUUGAUGAAUAGUAAGGAAGCUUUCCCG